CCUACGGGAGGCAGCAGUUGGGAAUCUUGGACAAUGGGGGAAACCCUGAUCCAGCCAUGCCGCGUGAGUGAUGAAGGCCUUCGGGUUGUAAAACUCUUUCGACGGGGACGAUAAUGACGGUACCCGUAGAAGAAGCUCCGGCUAACUUCGUGCCAGCAGCCGCGGUAAUACGAAGGGGGCUAGCGUUGUUCGGAAUUACUGGGCGUAAAGCGCGCGCAGGCGGUCUUCCAAGUCAGUGGUGAAAGCCCGGAGCUCAACUCCGGAACUGCCAUUGAAACUGUAAGACUUGAGGACGAGAGAGGUGAGUGGAAUUCCCAGUGUAGGGGUGAAAUUCGUAGAUAUUGGGAAGAACACCGGUGGCGAAGGCGGCUCACUGGCUCGUAUCUGACGCUCAGGCGCGACAGCGUGGGGAUCAAACAGGAUUAGAUACCCUGGUAGUCCACGCCGUAAACGAUGAAUGCUAGCCGUUGGGUAGCUUGCUAUUCAGUGGCGCAGCUAACGCAUUAAGCAUUCCGCCUGGGGAGUCGGCCGCAAGGUUGAACUUAAGAUAUCGCGNGNGAGAGCGACGACGACGACGAGGAGGAG
RNAcentral lists this ribosomal RNA (585 nucleotides) under uncultured bacterium. RNAcentral describes it as "bacterial SSU rRNA". It matches the Rfam family "Bacterial small subunit ribosomal RNA", at positions 338 to 943 of the family's 1533-position model. The record is from RNAcentral.